AACGAACGCUGGCGGCAUGCCUAACACAUGCCAGUCGAACGAGACCUUCGGGUCUAGUGGCGCACGGGUGCGUAACGCGUGGGAACCUGCCCUUAGGUUCGGAAUAACUCCCCGAAAGGGGUGCUAAUACCGGAUAAUGUCUUCGGACCAAAGAUUUAUCGCCUUUGGAUGGGCCCGCGUUGGAUUAGCUAGUUGGUAGGGUAAAAGCCUACCAAGGCGACGAUCCAUAGCUGGUCUGAGAGGAUGAUCAGCCACACUGGGACUGAGACACGGCCCAGACUCCUACGGGAGGCAGCAGUGGGGAAUAUUGGACAAUGGGCGAAAGCCUGAUCCAGCAAUGCCGCGUGAGUGAUGAAGGCCUUAGGGUUGUAAAGCUCUUUUACCCGGGAUGAUAAUGACAGUACCGGGAGAAUAAGCUCCGGCAAACUCCGUG
This 433-nucleotide ribosomal RNA is filed under the name uncultured bacterium. Its description in RNAcentral is "partial 16S ribosomal RNA". It matches the Rfam family "Bacterial small subunit ribosomal RNA", at positions 29 to 507 of the family's 1533-position model. The record is from RNAcentral.